RNAcentral lists this ribosomal RNA (492 nucleotides) under uncultured bacterium. RNAcentral describes it as "partial 16S ribosomal RNA". It matches the Rfam family "Bacterial small subunit ribosomal RNA", at positions 29 to 507 of the family's 1533-position model. The record is from RNAcentral.
AGUGAACGCUGGCGGUAGGCCUAACACAUGCAAGUCGAACGGCAGCACAGUAAGAGCUUGCUCUUACGGGUGGCGAGUGGCGGACGGGUGAGGAAUACAUCGGAAUCUACUUUUUCGUGGGGGAUAACGUAGGGAAACUUACGCUAAUACCGCAUACGACCUACGGGUGAAAGCAGGGGAUCUUCGGACCUUGCGCGAUUGAAUGAGCCGAUGUCGGAUUAGCUAGUUGGCGGGGUAAAGGCCCACCAAGGCGACGAUCCGUAGCUGGUCUGAGAGGAUGAUCAGCCACACUGGAACUGAGACACGGUCCAGCCUCCUACGGGAGGCAGCAGUGGGGAAUAUUGGACAAUGGGCGCAAGCUUGAUCCAGCCAUACCGCGUGGGUGAAGAAGGCCUUCGGGUUGUAAAGCCCUUUUGUUGGGAAAGAAAAGCAGCAGGUUAAUACCCCGCUGUUCUGACGGUACCCAAAGAAUAAGCACCGGCUAACUUCGUG